GCUGCCUUGCACUUAGGGAAGGUUCACAUGCCUCAAGGAUCUCUCUCUCAGAUUUCUUGACUUUCCCUCAGUCUUCAGUAUAGUCCUCUUCUGUGCCUGAUGAAGACCUGUGGUAAAGUGCUGGCAGAGAGGAAGCUAAAUCACGUAAAAGUUAAGAAACAGCUCAGCGUUUCACAGCUAAGCUGCUGGCUUCCCCUUGAAGGAAUAGGAGUAGACCUGCUAAACUAUCACAUGAGAGAAGAGGCCCAAAAGCUUGCAUACUGCAGUCAAGCUGGCCUUUAAAGAGAUGGACCUAGAAGAUGCUGAGCCAGAUGUACUCAGUUACUUCUCCCAAAUUCAUCAAUUAGCACUGCUUCUUGCUGCUGCCAUAUGAAGAAGGACGUGUUUGCUUCCCCUUCCUCCAUGAUUGUAAGUUUCCUGAGGCCUCGCCAGCCAUGCUGAACUGAAUACAACAUGUUUAAGACCACAGGACAUCUGCAUAGGCUGUAAAUUUCGUUAAAUGAUGGAUGCAAAGAUGGAAGACAGAUGGAGAGAGGAAAAGACAGAAUCAGAUACUGGAUGAGUUAGUACUGCUGCCUGUGCUUCAGAGCUGUCUUGUUACCACAAGGCCGGCAAGCAUCAAUGUCCCCACAUCCCCCUCUGCCUCCCCCUGAAAUGUACCGAUUUAUAUGAAAAUUAAGAUUACAAAUUAAAGCCUGGCUAUCCUGGAGUUUUCCAGUUCAUCAGCCAUCCAAUAAAAAUGAUGUCAAGCCUG
This 754-nucleotide non-coding RNA is filed under the name Pongo abelii (Sumatran orangutan). Lineage: Eukaryota; Metazoa; Chordata; Mammalia; Primates; Hominidae. The record is from RNAcentral.